UGGGGGAUCGUCUAGCGGUAGGACUCAGGGCUCUGAACCCUGCUACCUAGGUUCGAAUCCUGGUCCCCCAGCCA
Molecule: transfer RNA, 74 nt
Filed under: Smithella sp. PtaU1.Bin162
Lineage: Bacteria; Pseudomonadati; Thermodesulfobacteriota; Syntrophia; Syntrophales; Smithellaceae
Description: tRNA-Gln
Rfam family: tRNA
About the family: Transfer RNA (tRNA) molecules are approximately 80 nucleotides in length. Their secondary structure includes four short double-helical elements and three loops (D, anti-codon, and T loops). Further hydrogen bonds mediate the characteristic L-shaped molecular structure. tRNAs have two regions of fundamental functional importance: the anti-codon, which is responsible for specific mRNA codon recognition, and the 3' end, to which the tRNAs corresponding amino acid is attached (by aminoacyl-tRNA synthetases). tRNAs cope with the degeneracy of the genetic code in two manners: having more than one tRNA (with a specific anti-codon) for a particular amino acid; and 'wobble' base-pairing, i.e. permitting non-standard base-pairing at the 3rd anti-codon position.
Source: RNAcentral